CUCUGGAAAGAAUGAUGAGUCUGUGAAGAAGUCCGAGGAACCUAGCCCCCAGACGGAUACCCCCGGGGGUGAGGGGAGCCUUUGAUCUCGUGGGGCAGCCAGGUGAGGUGAGUUAUGUCCUCCCUUCUAGGACUUCAGCAGGACUGCGGGAAUUCCUGCUUGAAGUGAAAAGCAUGCCUCCGUUCUGGUGUCAGGCUUUGAAAUCCAAUUUUCUCCAAGUUUUCCAAAGGUCCUAGAGGAAAUAAGACCCUUUCCUGUGUCUGGAACUUUAGUCUUUCUGAGUAGACCACUCCCUCAGAUUCCCUUGGUUCCCCUACCCCAGAUGGCAAUUGGUGGUUCUCGAAAGCUCUACCACUGCUGUGGCCCAUGUGUUAACGAUCGUCUGUUCGCUGCUGUUAGGCCUGAACCCUGCCAGGCUUGUGGAGCUCGGAACCAGGGAUCUGAGAGCACAGCCAAGCUGCACCCAUGCGGGUUUUCUAUGUUGAGCAUAUCUUACAAAGGGGUCCCUACCUGGCCUACAUUUUCAGGGUUCAGACCCACCAAAUCAGUUGAGAUAAAUGCAGACAUGAAGAUGCGUUUUCUUUUCCUAGAGGAACAAAAGAAGAACAUGUGUCAAAUGAGCACUUGGGGGGCCAUUUAAUGCCAGCCUCUUGCUCCCAUUCUAGGAGACAGACCACCAGCACCCACAGCCGGGAAGGCACCCCCUGCAGCCAGGCUUGUGUGUGGAGAAGCACAUGGCUCUGUAGGAGAAAAAGGUCUUGGGGCCUCUUUUCAAAACCAGCCCUGAGUAUGUGGUAUGAUUUAGAUUUGUUCAUAAAAACAAUCCAGUUGGUUUCUGUCAAUAGCAUUUGAAUUGCUUCUCAGAUACUUAGUUCUUGCAGGAUGCUUUAUGAGACUGCACGCAGGCUGCGUUUCCCAAAGUCUGGCCAGCUGUACCAUUUUCUCCUUUCCAGAGCAGGGGUGGAGACAGAGAAGAGGUGAACGCAUGCCUACUAAACUGAUUUUCACUGCUAAUCUCAUACUUCCAUGCUGCAUGACUUAGCUGCUAUUUUAAAAGACAUUCUCUGUAUUUUCUCUUUCUUCCAGUUUUUAUUUCCUAUAGGAAGUUGUUUUGGAAUUGACUUAAGCUUUAACACAAUAGGCUCAUCCCUACAGGGACCCUUUUCAGGAGCUCAGGGAUGGCAUCCUCAUGGAGCAUCAGCCUGACAGAUGUCACUUGAGCAGGAAGCAGGGUACAGGAAUGCAAAACGUGUUUUAUACAAAAUUGCCCAUUUUCUUCAUUCUCCUGCAGCUCUGGCUUAUGGAAUUCUCUCAAUAACCUAUGUCAAUACAACCUUGCUCCUAAGAGUCUUGGAGUCUUGGCUACAGGAAAGCUAUGAUAGACAAUUUGCAGGGGACCGUGAAGAGUAGAGCUAGGCAGGUGUUGUUUGCUGUGGACCAGUCUUCCUUGCAAAUGGCACUGAUUGAGAUUGGGAGUAGUUUGGGGAAUGAAAUAAUAAUAUGAAUAAUACAAAAUAAAAUCUCUUUGCUUGAUCUUAUUUGAACUGGGUACUGGUUUAGGCAAAGCAUAUUUUUCUCAUUUUCCUCCGACCUCCAGAGACACCUUCUCAAACAUCACUCUCAGGCCAGCAGAAAGGAAAUGAUACACUGUGUUUUGCCAAGACUGAUCUGGGCCAUCUUCUGUAUUUGCAAAUAGCAACCUACAAAGGGGGUUGGUACAUAGACAAGUAGUAGAGGAAGAUAGAACUAGACCAGAGUCCUGGCUCUACCAUCUGUUGGCUAUGAGACCCCAGGCAAACUUGUUAAGCCUUUGUUUUCUCCUCCAUAAAAUGGACACAAUAAUAUUUAGCUAUGAAUAUCAAUCAAUACAAAGCACAUAAAUUGUUUAGCAUAAUGCUUGGUCAAUAGUAAAUGCUUAACAAGCAGUGGUAAUGUUAGUGCUAUUAUUUGAUCACAUUGUUAGCUUUCCCCAAUAUGCUCCCUAAAGGAUGAGAAUGAUUCCGAUUUGUCAUCUAAAAUCUUGCCUUCUCUAAGUCUCACCCGUAGGUCUUGAUUCUGACAUUGAGCCCCUUGAAAAUGGGCUUGACCCGCACUGCGGUGUCUCCCUAGGCAGAGUUGGUGCUGGCAGCCACAAUUUACCAUUUAGCACCACGGUGACUUGCAGAUAAAGCACCAGAAACACCUGCAUGGAAGGCUCUUCAAACCAAAUGCAAGCAGUAAACUCAGACUCAAACCAUGGAGAUGGAAUCGGAUCUCCUCACAAAAUUACAACUUGGAUCUUUGGCAGAAAUCCUUAGUGAAGCUUGGGAAGACUCUCCUUUGAGGUAAUCCACAGUGGGGGUGUGCCAGUGAGGAGAAGAAGAGACAUGCAAGGCUAGAAACUGAGCUGAUGGUUUCUUGGCCUUGUAAUUACAUUGGAAGGAUUCUGUUUAAUGAAAUCUCUUCCAUUUAUACUGUGUCCCAGUACUGUUUGGAGAGUUUUAGAGCUUAUGAUGGAAGAUGGGCACAGCCAAGAGGUAAGGUUGAGUCGUUCCAAUCUCUGGAAUGACUGGCGACAGUGGGGUGUUGAAUCACUCUAUUGUACACCUGAAACUAUAUUAUGCUUUAUGUUAACUAACUGGAAUUUAAAUAAAAACUUUUUUUUUUAAAGGGGACAGUAGAAAUGAGUAUAUAUUCUUUCUAAACCCACUGAGUUUUGAGACAUGCUCAGGUUAUGAUUGACAUUCACAUGAGAACCUUCAGGUCAUCUUAAAAAGGCCUGUCCCAGAUCCUCCAGGUUGGCUGUGGAGGGAGGGGCAGCUGUAGCUCAGAGGUCACAUCUCCAAGAUUCACCUGAGCUUGGGUAUCUCAUUGCUCAGACCACAUUAUGGCUCUAGGGAUGGUACCCUGCUGUUGGUCUCUUCCUCAGGAAUGUGGACGGACGGUCUCCUUAAUUCCCAGUUAUGUGGUAGAGAACAGGGUAUAAUGUUAAUGAGACUUGAUUACAUUUGAGGAAUAAUAGAAGAGAAUGAAAGUGUAGAAAAUAACACAUAACUGGCUCCAGAGAGAACGAUACCUUCCCUUCAGGAAGACCUUCCACCCAAUCAAGGGGGUGGGCAGCCUGAACUUAGAGCCCCCAAAGGGCAACCGCACAAAACAGAGUAGCCCCAAAUGUAUGGAGUUGUCCAACAAAUACGGUGAUCCAACUUGUACAUGCCUGAAUGAUACAGGGAAUGGGGGAAGGGGUGUCCUCACGAGCUGCAUAACUUUCCUCUGGGAGCUUCUUCAGUCCAUAAAAAUGGCGUUCCUCCUCUGGAGGAAUUGGGAAAAAAAUAUUUGAAAACUGCCUCCAGCUAUGAUGUAGAAAUCAUUAUGCACAGUCUGGAUUAGGAUUCCAGGGACAAAGCAAUCGUGAGCAGGUCAGAGAGGCAGGUCAUGACUGGAAAACCAAAUGAGGCCACUGCUAGAUUCUCAUGCAUCCACAAGAGAGCUUCAUUCUUUGGCUUCUAGAGCCAUAGAGAUCUACUUCAGUGGUGAGCAAGUUUGAAGAAUGCUCCAGAAAUCCUAGCAGUAUUUUUGUCAUGUAAGGAAAACAUUACUUUUAUUACUUUUUUCAGUCAAGGGCCAGUCCCAUAGGACCCUAUUGCCGGAUUUUUAUUAUGCCUCAGUGUUUUUGAAUACGUUCAUAUAUGCCGUCCUGUUCAAUCCUCACAGAAGCCCUGUGGGACCAGCAGGGCACGUCGUAUUUCACAGGUGGGAAAGCAUAGCAGCACAGGUGAGUCACUCAGCAAGUGACAGAGCGGUGGAUGCCUUGUGACCGGACCUGGUGUUUGUCUCCUUAGCUCAGGCCUUCUCCAGCUAGUUCUGAGAACAGGCCAACUGGAAGCUUCUCGUUCAGACAGUCCCCAGAGCUGGGACAUGAUCCUUCUGGUCACGGCAGUCUGGUGCCUUUUUAGAUCUCACAAUUCCUUAUGAGCUCUUAGUUGCCCAGGUCUUUUUAAAGAUCACUUGAAAAGGUUCAACUCCAUGCAGACUCUCCUCUGAAACCUUUCCUUUGGUCAUUCCGUGCUCACCCCUCCCUCUGGAGGUACAGAAUAAGAGAAUGUACUGGGACAGAGAAGCUGGCCUGACUCUAGUUUACUGGCUAGUGCCCCUGGAGUCCCCUGUUUAGUUUGUGUUGGCUUGUUUAUGGCUCAGAGAAAUGGCCAAACACGCUUUUCCUUAAAAUGUUUUUUUCUGUGAACAACACUGACACCCUCUUCUGUCAACUGUGUUGAGUCUGUGUCAUGUGUUCAAAUUCCAGAAACUCUCAUUUCCAUGUGUUCCAUGUGUUCCUGUGUUGAGUCUGUGUCAUGUGUUCAAAUUCCAGAAACUCUCAUUUGGCUCAAGGCAGCUCUGUGCAGAGAUAGUUUUGACGCUUCCCGCCUGGGGCUCCAUUCUUCUGGCCACUUCCACAGAACAACUGGGAGCAUCACAGGCCCCAUUUCAGGGUUCAGAGAGAAGGUUAUCCAUGAAGGGCAGGUCUGGCCUGAUGGGGACAUGAUCUACAAUUGCACCAUUCCGCUGGGGGAAAUGCAGGCUAAGAAGAGCCCUCUGGUCUAGGCACUAAAGAGCUGAAAGCACUUGAGAAUUUUUUCCUGGUGGAAGUGCAGUCACUUGAAGAUGGUCUCAUGCCACCACCCGGGUGAGGGAGCACCCCGCCCUGUGAGCCGCUGCCGCUGAAGCCCUGGGAUCUGGUCCUUUGAAGGGGGCCCCACUUUCUUGACCCGCGCUGUUUGUCCUGCGGCGGCCACAACACAGCGCCGGCCGGUGCCCUGCCCCUGUGAACCUGCAGCUUUGCCUGCAGCUGGUGGAAGGAAGCUUGUUCUCCCCAGGCCGCCAUUUCCGCUCCAUCGCUCAUUGUUCCUAGAGUUAGUUACCACAUUGGUGGUUCAAAGCCAUAAUCUUCUUUUGCUCUCAUUUUGGAGUCCGUGUUUUCCCCAUCCGCCUCUAUUAUCCUGAGAGCCUUAUUUUUCCUCUUGAUCCAAACCAAACACUGUUUAUCAGUCAUAGGAAGGGCUUUGCAGGGUUCCUGCCCACAGUGCAGAAUGAUACACAGAGCUUCCUGUGCAAGCGUGGCCCUGCGCCAACACCGUGGAACAGGCUGCGGGGGCAGGUCGGAGUCAUAGACUGCAAUGGGCUGUGCCAGGGCCAGGGAGACACAUCUGGCCUUGCUCUGCCUGUCCCUGGGGGGGCCAAAGAGGGCCUCAGACACAAAUGUCAAAGCCCAAGUGCCUGGACCUUUCGCAGGGAGGACCCAGUGUGCGUUGAGCCUGGCUCCAUCAAGAACAAGCGGAGUGAUGUGGAGCAGUGCACGUCUUAGAAGCGUGCAUGCUUCCAAAGCUGCUCAUUGAAGCAUGACGAAACACAUAGGACAUUCCAUUCUUAGAGUUCACUGGAACCUAAGGGCUUGGGGUGGGUCAUCUUGAGCACUGCCCUUUGAGGGGUAGUGUUGUGAAGGGCUCCUGCCUGAUGGAUGAGGAGAAAGGAGGCUUCCUUCCCACCCCGUGCCCCCAUUUAGCAGGCAUGUGACCCCGUGAAGUUCCCUUAUCUGCCAGCAUCUCAGUUUCCCUGUCUGUAUGUCGAGGAAGGCGGACUCAAGGUCCACCACUCUGCGAAUUAUCUGUAUUCUGGGCAUUCUGUAGAGUACUCAUUAGAUGCUGACAGAGAAUAUUCAGGAGGCGUGGCUCACAGAGCAAGGAGUGGCCAUUUAUUGAGUCACUCCUGUGUUGUAGGGACAACGAUGGGCACUGGGAAUACAAGGGCAGCUAAGAUGCAGUCUUUACCCUUGAGAAGAUCAUAGUCCAGUAUAGGAGACACAAGCAGACAGUCAUGAUUCCAUGUGUAAAUGGCAUACAAUAUAGAGGUAAGUACAAGGUGCUUAUAGAAGCAUAAAGAAGGGAUGUAUUGCUGCCUCAAGAAGUGAGGGUGGUUUUCUAGAAAAGUUUGAUCUCCCUCUUGAGCAAGAACACAUUGCCAGGCAGAGAAGGGACUGAAGGAGGCAGGGGAGGUGUGUUUCAGGACGAGGGAGCCACCUGAGAGAAUUGUACUUGGAAAAUGACCAUUGUCUUCCCACCCACCAACAGUGGCUGCUACCCACAUUUGUGCCAUGGGAACCCAGCCCCGGGUCAUGGCUGAGUGGAUGAGGUGUAGAUAUCUGUUUUCAAAGCAGCUAGUUUAGAGCUCAUUCUGGGUUCUAUGACUUGUGGCCUGGAUUGAGAAGCCGAGCUAGCCAAGUCAGUCAUUGCUCUGGAUUCUGAAAUUGGGAACCGGAGACUGCUGGGCUUAUCUGGGGGAACUGAGAGGAUGAGUUUACAUGAAUGGGGGUGCUGAGGGAGUGUUGGGGUUGAACCUGGGUGUGCAAAGUCAUGAGGGAGAAUGAGCCACGGGGGAGUGGAGUGGGAAGGAGAGAUGAGGAAGGAGAGGCCUUACAGGGGGAAACAGAGUUCCUGUGCAUCUUCUUCCAAUGGGAGACUCUGAGAGGGGAUCAGCCUCCAGUUAUAGGAAACUUCUCAUUUCUGUUCUCAGGAGUCCUGUCAUUUUUACUGGGAUUCUUUUAUUUUCUUUGGAUUCAAUCUUACAAAGUUAAAAAAAAAUAAUUAUAUAGACAAAAUUUUUUUAAAGGUUUAUUUAUUUAUUUAUUUGUUUAUUUAUUUAUUUGAGAGAGAGAGAGAGAAUGAGCAGGGGAAGUGGCAGAGAGAGAGAGAAUCUUUCAAGCAGACUUUGCUGAAUGUGGAGCCCAACUUGGGGCUCGAUCCCAUGACCCAUGAGCCAAAACCAAGAGCUAGAUGCUCAAUGGACUGAGCCACCCAGGUGCCCCUAUAGACAAAAUUUUUUAAUUGAAUUGAAUUUUUAAAAAAGAUUUUAUUUAUUUAUUUGCCAGAGAGAGAGAAUGUGCACAAGCAGAGGGAGUGGUGGACAGAGGGAGAAGCAGGCUCCCCGCUGAGCAGGGAGCGUGAUGGGGGACUCGAUCCUAGGACCCUGAGAUCAUGACCUGAGCUGAAGGCAGUCACUUAACCUACUGAACCACCCAGGCGCCCCUAGACAAAAUUUUAACACACAUCCAUGUAGCUAUUACCCAGAAUUAGCAAAUGGUAGGAAUUUGUCAUGUUUGUUCUGGGUAAUUACAUUAUAAAAGAUAAAAAAUUACAAUUUAAAUUUAAUUUUGAAUAUUCUCUUUUUUUUCUUCCCUGGUCUCUCACUCUCUUCACAAAAGGAACCAAUUAGAAAUUUGGCCUGUAUCCAUGAAAAUUAUAUGAGGGGGCACUGCCUGUAUCAGAAAGGAAAAAGAUUUUUCAGAAGUGGGAGCUUGCAUCCAUGUCUCACUGACAAGAACCUUGUCACGUGAGAACUCCAUCAUAUGAGAGGGGCUGAAACCAAGUGUGUUUUGGGCUGCUGUUGCUUGUUCAAUCUGACGUACUGCUUGGAACAAAAAACGAUGAUGUUAAGAUGGAAACAGAGAAUACAUUUUGGAUGGCACCAAGGUCUUUUAGCCAGUGAGACAUAUUGGUCAACUUAUAGUUGUGGCUCUGGCACUUCUUAUACUUUUCUCCUUGUCUUUAGCAUUCCUCAUUCUCAAGACCAUCCGCCCAUGAGUCCAUUUAUUUGUGUGGAUUCUGCUGAGGGUCUAGUGUGUUCUGUCUCCAGCUUUGGAAGACUCAUGUCUUCUCUACCACCAUUUGCUUUUUCUGAAACAUUUUAUCGUAGCGUCCCAGACUCUUUGAUUUCUUAUUUAUGUUUUCUGUCUUUUGCCCCUUCUCCUAGAUUCUGGAUGAUUUCUUCAGAGGUAUUUUCUAGUUUUAAUUAUCUGUUGAGUUGUGUUAAAUUUCUGUUCAACUAUCCAUCAAGUUGGUUUUUUUUAAAUUAAUGAUUAUACUCUAUAUUUCUACACUUCCAAUAUGGUUGUUUUUUUGUUCUGAUUGCUCUUAUUUUGUAAGGUUCCAUUCUUGCCUUAUGGAACCCUUUUUUUUUUUCUUUAUCUCUUUGAACUUGAAAAAGGGAUUAUUUUAGGAAGCAGGAUUGACUAAGGACUUAUAAUUGUUAGAACUGAGUGAUGGGCAUAUAGAGCUUCUUUAUUUUCUCCAAUGCACGUGUUUGAAAUUUUCCAUUAAAAAGUUUUAAUGAUGAAUCCAUGGUUAUGAGCACAUAAGAACAUUAUUUUUCAAAGUUUACUAAGAUGCCAUUUGCCUGGUUUGGGGUUAUUCUCUGGUGUGUAAAGAGCAGAUUUAUUAAAGGCCCCUUUCAUUCCUCAGUUAUUAAUUCAGUGCCUACCACUUCUGUGUGAGAUAGCAGUGAACUACCGUAGCACUUACAUUCUAGUGGGGUGACAGAUAAUAAACAAAAAGAGAAAUUUGAGGUGAUUAAUAAAGUUACAUAUACAUAAAAAAGUUUUAAUGAUAAUAUUUAUUUUGGAUUUCAGUUUUUUCCCCUAGUUCUAGGGCCAGUAGGUGUCUCAUUUGUGGCAUCUGAGACUCAUUUCCCGCAUCACUGUUAUCAUUCCUUGAGCGUGAUUCUUCGGCAGGUGCUGCUUUCUGUGGGACAUGCAGAUGAACCAGGCUUUAGGAGUGGCCCCACAGGAAGGCUUUGGUUUUGCUCCUGCUUGGCCUGGAGGGUUUCACUAUUUAGCUUCUCUUCUUGGGCGCCUGGCAUCAUGUAGACUGUCCAAGUUUGGGCUCUGUGCACAUGCAUGGCCUAAUCCUGGGCUCUGACUCCUACUACAUAAUCCCUUUUCCAAGCAUAACCUUUGUGAAUGGCAAGCCUCUCUGGUGUUUACCCAGGCCAAUGGGCAGAAUUUUGUCAUUAUUUUCUCAGCCCUUUAUGAUUUAUGCAGGACCUUAUGCAGGUAGAUAGGAUCCAGCUCCUCUUGUGCUGGUCUCCUUCUCUUGAUCUUAUACCCAUCUUGCAGGCAGCAAAGCCAUGGAAACCUAUGUGGUCUGAACUGGGUUUCAUCUCCUACUAACUGCUGUGAAUCUGAGUUCCUUAUUUCUGGCACCUAGGGAUUUCUCUCUUAGUUUUAAACAUGCAUCAAGACCAAAAAAUUUAUUUUAUUACAUUUUACUACAUUCCUAUUUUUGGGCCAGAAGGAGGGGAGUGGGCUUGGCAGUCUGCUUAGGUCUGGACUUGGUCCAAUGUCAUUGCCUUUCCAAGAGCUCUUGGCAUCCUUGUAAUAAACUUCCACUUCUCUUAAGCUAGUUUGAGUGAGUAUCUGUACCCUGCAAUCAAAAGAGCUCUGAGUAGAACAGACAUGAUAUGGUCAGGGAAAGAUGAAGUGAUAGAAGAUAUAAAGAUGAUAAGCAGUUUUAUCUCUGGGAAUUUAGCAAAAGUUUUCAGCUGGGGAGUGAUGUGACUGAUUUGUGCGUGAGAAAGACACAGGAUGCAGCACUUGGAAAAUCAGAAUUCUUGGGGAUGGGGGCAGGGAAGAGAAGAGAGGCAGAAAGACUCUUUCUAUGACCAUAGCAAUAAUGCAGGUGAGAGGUGAUGAAGUCCUGAACUAAGGCAGUGGGUAUGUGGGUUUUUAGGAAAAAAAAGAUUAAAAUUGUGAGUAUUUGCCCUGCCUACAGUAGGCAUUUUUCAUGCGUUUUCCCAUUUACUGAUUGCAACACUCUGGAGAGUUCCAGAUUUAAUUAUUAUCCCAAUUUACAGAUAAGAAAUUACAAGCUCAGAGAGAUUAAGUAAUUUGAUCCAAGUCAUAUAACUAACAAGUGGCUGAGUCAAAAUUUGAAUUUAAGUCUCUAACACCAAAGCCCAUCCAUGUUCUUUUCUUUACAUAAAGACCUUUUCAGUAGGAGUUGGUAUAACUUAUAUGUGGAAAUGAGGAAGAAGGAAGAGUGGACAAGGACCCUUGGGGUUACUAACUUGGGGAGUUAACAACUGGAAAGGCUAUUAAUUGAGAGAAGGGAUACAGGAGGCAGAGCAUGCUUGGGGAGGAAGGAAAUUAGUCCAUUUUGUGCAGUGGCUGGAAGUCAUCUAGGUAGAGAUUUCUAGUAAAUAGCUGAAAAUAAGGGGCUGAAGCUGAGGAAAGAGUUCAGCUGGAGAUACAACCUUUGAGUCAUGAGCUUAUUCCUGGUUAUGGAAACCAAGUGAGAGGAUGAGAGUCUUUAGUAAAUUGGUGGAGUGAGAAGAGAACUAAGGGUGUACCAUGGGAGGUAUUAAUAUCUGAGGAGAGGGCAUAGAUGAAGCCAGGAAAGGAAUUGGGAAAUAUGGUUAAAAAAAAAAAGUAGGCAGAGUAUCUAUAGCGAGUAGAAUCUCAAAAACUAAGAGAAGCAAAAUUUCUUUAAGGGGUAUUUUCAAUACUAACAAAUGCUAAAGAGGUCAAACAGGAUAUAGACUGAAAAUAAGACAUUGGAUGUGCCAAUUUGGAAGUCAUAGAUGACCUUUGCAAGGACAGAGAAAAGGAGUGAUUAAUCCUGCCUGGGGCAGGCUAGAGAAAGGCUUCACUGAAGACUUGACAUUUGAGUUGGGCCAUGAAGCGUGGUGGGAUUGUGCCAGGCAGAGAAGAGGGUGAAAGGCAUUUCAGGCAAAGGGAACAACAUGAGGGGAAAACAAAAAUCCAAGCUAAGGCACAAUUUGGAAUUUAGUUAGAGCUCUUUGGAUUUUCAUAGGCAACAUCAAGUUGGCAGCACAAGUAUAUUAGGCCAUGUCUUGUUUUCUACAUUUUGGAGAAUCUUAUGGUUUCUCUUUUCCUGUAGACAUAAUAAUGGAGAUUGGGAAAUAUGAUUGGUGUCUUCCAAAGAGACAUAGGGUUCAAUCCUUUAGGAAAGCAGAGUUCUAAUCAAGCAGAGUGAGUGGGAAGUCUCUACAGGUACAUCUCACAGAGCAUGUCAUGAUUUGGAAGGGCAAUAAAUGCAGGCUGUUGCAACAAGUCACCCAAAGCUCUCCAUGGUUUGACAUAGUCAAAGUCUCAUCCUCAGGCAGAGUCUGAUGGGGUCCAGCAGCACUUGUGGGCAGCUCUCAUCCAUGCAGUGACUCAGAGAUCCGUGUUCCUUCCACAUGCGCUCUGAAAUCUCAGACCCUUUCACUCCCAGCAGGUGGAUGGGGAAAAAACCAUACAGAAAUCAUACUAGACACCUAGUCACCCCAGGAUGGAAGUGACACCCCACUGCUACUCACAUUUGUCUGCCCUAUUUAGUCAAACAGCCAACCUAGUGGCAAAGGAGACAGGGAAAUGUUUGUAAGCACGUCGAUAUUGUGAGCAUUAACUGUAUAUUCCAUUGAUUGAUAUUAACAUAUUGAUUAUUAAAGUAUUCUUUGUUUCCUUGGAAAAUGUAAAAUGCCUUAGGCAUUGUCCAUUUCCUAUGUUUUGGGGUAAGCCUGGUCAUCUGAUUCAGGGCCUAUCAUCUCAGUCUGUUUUACAAAACAAAAUUUCAUGUUUUUCAUGGGAAUGUAAAUUGGUGCAGUCACUGUGGAAAACAGUAUAGAGGGUCCUCAAAAAAUUAGAAAUAGAACUACCAUAUAACCCAGCAAUUCCACCUCUGGAUAUUUCACCCCCAUGUUCAGUGUAGCAUUAUUUACAAUAGCCAAGACAUGGAAACAACCUAAAUGUCCACUGACGGAUGAAUGGACAAAGAUGUUGCGCACACACACACACAUACACAGUGGAAUUUUAUUCAAUCAAAAAAAAAAAAAAAAAGAAGGGAAAUCCUGUCAUUAGUGAUUACAGGGAUGGACCUUGGGGGCCUUAGUCUAAGUGAAUUAAAUCACACAGAGAAAGACAAACUCUGUGCGAUAUCACUUAUAUGUGGAAUCUAAGAAACAAAAACUGAACUCAUAGAAUAAGAGAAGAGAUUGGUGGUUGCCAGAGAUGGGGGUAGAGGGUUUGAAAAAUGGGGGAAAGGUGGUCAAAAGGCACAUAAAUCCUGGACAUGUAAUACAACAUGGUGACUACAGUUGCUACGAGUGUAAAGCUUAAAAGUUCUCAACACAAGCUAGGUGCCUGGGUGGCUCAGUCAGUUAAAUGUCUGCCUUCGGAUCCGGUCAUGAUCUCAGGGUCCUGGGAUCAAGCCCCACAUCGGGCUCCCUGCUCAGCAGGGGAGUCUACUUCUCCCUCUCCCUCGGCCCCUCACCCCUACCCAUACUCUCUCUCUCAAAUAAAUAAAUAAAAUCUUACCAAAAAAAAGUUCUCAUCACAAGAAAAAACAUUUUUUUAACUUUAUGUGGUGAUUGAUGUUAACUAAACUUUUGCUAUUAUACAUGUACCGAGUGAUUAUGUUGUACAAUUAAAAAUAAUACAAUGUUUUAUGGCAAUUAUGUCUCAAUUAAAAUAAAAACAAAAAUUUCAUGUUACUAGAAUUCUUCCUUUACACUGUGAACAACUUUUGACCAUAGAAUUGUGCUUAUCAGUGUUAGCCAAAGUGAACUGAAUUUCAAAGUAGAUUCAGUUUGAUGGAUUCAUGGUGUAACGUUGUUGUGGUUAGUAGCUUGGAGAGCACCACCAUGCAGGAGACCCUUUUCGAGAAACAUCUAUGUCAACUCUGCAGACUGAAAAUGAAGAAAGAUUUAUUUCAUGUCAUGAUGGUACAAUAUCUUUUGUAUAUUUAACCAAGGACAUCUUAAUUUUUGUGUGUGAAUAAUAUUAUAAAAAUAUUAAUACAAAUUUUAAGAAAGAAAAAAAAUCCAUGCCUAAUUCCUUU
Long non-coding RNA from Mirounga angustirostris (Northern elephant seal), 12647 nucleotides. RefSeq lists it as uncharacterized. The transcript has 3 exons. The record is from RefSeq and is a predicted model, not a curated record. Lineage: Eukaryota; Metazoa; Chordata; Mammalia; Carnivora; Phocidae.